UUUUCUUCAAUGCUAAACUGCCUAGUAAAAUUAAUGCCUGUGGCAUUUAAGGGACAUCGAAGGCAUGAAGAUUAAAUUGGCCAAGGGACAGAAAACCAGGAGCAGCGAUGCAUGGUUAUGGGUGUUGAGCAGGAGGGUGGGACCAAUUUAUGGCUGCACCAGAGAACAGGAACAUACAUUACGUCCUUCUGUGCCACAUCAUUCUGGGCAGGACAGAUUACAGAGUCUGGAACAGUGAACAGGAAACAGACAGACUC
Pristis pectinata (smalltooth sawfish) is the source of this 257-nucleotide long non-coding RNA. RefSeq lists it as uncharacterized. The transcript is spliced from 3 exons. Lineage: Eukaryota; Metazoa; Chordata; Chondrichthyes; Rhinopristiformes; Pristidae. The record is from RefSeq and is a predicted model, not a curated record.